GGGGGCGACAGGUAUCGACCGGACACGAAGAAGGUCAGGUGGCGUGCCCAGGUUCUCGGGAGGCCUGGUAAAACACCCGGGGAUGCUAAUUAAGCGUCAACGAUAGCUACAGAAUGGCUGCCUAGAGAUAGGCUGCCCGUCCGAGGCUGAUCGCCUGUGUCAGCCGAAGGACGCCAAUUCAGCAGGCUGGUUCCGGCGUUGGGCCGCAGGGCGCCGGGGCGAGACACUCUGGGGCUGGGUCGGACGGAUCCCGUUGCCGGGAGUCGGACGAUCGAGAUUAAAACGGCAACUAUGCACGUAGAAGCCUGUCCGGAACUGUCACGGGACGGGGGUUCGAAUCCCCCCGCCUCCAUUU
Molecule: transfer-messenger RNA, 355 nt
Filed under: Phycisphaerae
Lineage: Bacteria; Pseudomonadati; Planctomycetota
Also listed under: 1 other name
Description: JAAYCJ01 sp012729815 Standard tmRNA
Rfam family: transfer-messenger RNA
About the family: Bacterial tmRNA, also known as 10Sa RNA or SsrA, is named for its dual tRNA and mRNA-like properties.
Source: RNAcentral